RNAcentral lists this transfer RNA (69 nucleotides) under Xenopus gilli (Cape clawed frog). RNAcentral's name for it is "tRNA-Asp". It matches the Rfam family "tRNA". Rfam says of the family: Transfer RNA (tRNA) molecules are approximately 80 nucleotides in length. The record is from RNAcentral. Lineage: Eukaryota; Metazoa; Chordata; Amphibia; Anura; Pipidae.
GAGAUGUUAGUAAAACAAUUACACCUCCUUGUCAAGGCGAAGUUGCUGGUUAAACCCCGGCACAUCUCA